RNAcentral lists this unclassified non-coding RNA (229 nucleotides) under fungal sp. Its description in RNAcentral is "partial internal transcribed spacer region". The stretch from base 1 to 46 matches the Rfam family "Eukaryotic small subunit ribosomal RNA", at positions 1786 to 1831 of the family's 1831-position model. Lineage: Eukaryota; Fungi. The record is from RNAcentral.
AAGUCGUAACAAGGUUUCCGUAGGUGAACCUGCGGAAGGAUCAUUCACAAUAAGUGUUUAAUGGCACUUUCAAAUCCAUUACCCACCUUGUGUGCACUGUAGAUGAGGGAAGAAGGACUUGUUCUCCUUUCCCUUGUCAUACUUACAUACCUAUUUUUCUUGAUUGUCUACAAUUUGAGUAAUAAAAAAACUCGAAUACAACUUUCAACAACGGAUCUCUUGGCUCUCG